UCCGGGGGGGGCAAGCGUUGUUCGGAAUUACUGGGCGUAAAGGGCUCGUAGGCGGCCAACUAAGUCGGAUGUGAAAUCCCCAGGCUCAACUUGGGAACUGCAUCCGAUACUGGAUGGCUUGAAUUCGGGAGAGGGAUGCAGAAUUCCAGGUGUAGCGGUGAAAUGCGUAGAUAUCUGGAGGAAUACCGGUGGCGAAGGCGGCAUCCUGGACCGACAUUGACGCUGAGGAGCGAAAGCUAGGGGAGCAAACGGG
This 253-nucleotide ribosomal RNA is filed under the name uncultured bacterium. Its description in RNAcentral is "partial 16S ribosomal RNA". It matches the Rfam family "Bacterial small subunit ribosomal RNA", at positions 524 to 776 of the family's 1533-position model. The record is from RNAcentral.